GAGCGGGUCAAAUAUGGCGGAAGGCGGCGACGCAGAGCCGGGCGAGCGCGACAGGUCCUCUGGGCCCCGGCCUCCGAGCGCGCGUGACUUGCAGAAUUUAGUAAGAAUGUGAAGAAAUUGCAAAGAAACCUGAAAACAACAAGUGAUGACAUGUGAAGAAAUAGAUUGGCCUUGGCAGAAUUGUGUGAGGAUGAAGUGAAAUGCAAGUCUUCCAAAUCUGAUAGACCUAAAGCUUCAGUCUUUAAAAGCCCACGAACACCACCUCAACGGUUCUAUUCAAGUGAGCAUGAAUACAGUGGGUUACAUAUAGCUCGACCUUCAACUGGGAAAAUUGUGAAUGAACUUUUCAAAGAGGCAAGGGAACAUGGGGCUGUCCCUCUGAAUGAAGCCACAAGAGCUUCAGGUGAUGACAAAUCUAAGUCUUUUACAGGUGGAGGGUACAGGUUGGGGAAUUCCUUUUGUGAGCAGUCUGAGUACAUCUAUGAAGAAAGCCAGCUGCAAGAUGUUCAGGUUUUGCUUAAAUUGUGGAGCAAUGGGUUCAGUUUAGAUGAUGGAGAAUUGAGACCUUACAAUGACCCAACAAAUGCUCAAUUUCUGGAGUCUGUUAAAAGAGGGGUGACUCUCAUUGCAUGUAUGCCUGAAAUUCAGCAGCUUAUAUUAGAAAUCUUUUAAAGUGGCAUUACUCCUCGCAGAAGAUUUCAAAAGAGAAAUUCCUCCAGAGCUUCAGCGACUGGUUCAUGGUGGCCAAGUGAACUUGGACAUGGAGGACCAUCAGGAUCAAGAAUACAUCAAACCCAGAUGGAGGUUCAAGGCUUUUAGUGGAGAAGGACAAAAACUUGGAAGUCUUACACCUGAAAUUGUCAGUACACCUUCGUCACCAGAAGAGGAGGAUAAGUCAAUACUUAAUGCAGUUGUUCUUAUUGAUGAUUCAGUGCCAACAACAAAGAUUCAAAUCAGGCUGGUAGAUGGGAGUCGUUUGAUACAAAGAUUCAAUAGUACACACAGGAUCCUGGAUGUUCGGGACUUCAUUGUACAGUCCCGCCCUGAAUUCGCAACUCUUGACUUUAUUCUUGUGACUUCAUUUCCAAACAAAGAGCUAACAGAUGAAAGCCUGACGCUACAAGAAGCAGAUAUUCUUAACACUGUGCUACUCCAGCAACUAAAAUAAUACUGCUGCUCCUAUUUGCGCAGUAACAUAGAAGAGAGAUAAUGUGCCAUAUUUAAUAAGGAAAACUUUCUUAUAAAAAUACCAAAUUGUUUUUAUUAUUUAUACAGAUACUUUUUGGUUUUACUCUUAUUCUGUCCUCCAACCUUAGCGUAGAUGAAUUUGUACUGGGAAAAGAUCUCAAGAUAAAUGUGUUUGAGUUUUUAGUGGUAGGGCCGGCUUAUAUUCAUAGAUUUUAAAUAUCCAGUCAAACUAAUUUGUUACAUGCUCAGUGUUAAUGUAACAACAUUUCUUGGCAGCGAAAAUGAACAAAACUCCAUUUUGAUAAAUUGAGUGAAAUUUGCACUAAGUUUCUUCAUGCUGCAUUGAUCAAGAGCCAUUAAGGAAUCUUCUGAUCAAAUAUUUUGAAAACUUUUCUGUAAUAUAUACUAAAGAGUAUCUGUAUUCUGAUUUUUGAAAUGCUUUGAUGAUACGAUGAUUAUUUCUCCUAUUAAGAUAUUAUGCAUCCUUUUUACUGAUUGAUUUAACUAUAUUACUGUAUCAAGAAAAUACAGUUUGGCCUUGUAUUUUACAGAACUAUGAACAUUCUAACCUAGAAACACAUAACAGUGAGCAGUCUUGAGAUGUGGCCAAUAGCACUUUAACACAGAGAAAUUACAGUCCCUCUCAGAGCCUGCCUGAUCACAUGCAUUUACUUGUUCAACACGUGUUUCUGGGGCAGGGGUCCCCAACCCUCACACUGCAGACCAGGCCCAGACCAUGGUCUGCUAGGAACCAGGCCCCACAGUGGGAGGUGAGAGGCAGGCAAACGAGUGAAGCUUUGUCGUGUUACCACCUGAGCUUUUCACCUCCUGUCCCAGCCCGCCCCCACCCCCCACCCCAUCUUCCACAAGCCUAGUCCCUGGUGCCAAAACGGUUGGAGUCCGCUGUUUUAGGGGACCCACUGUAGAUAUCAAACACUAUUUGAAGUGUCAAAACCAGAAUGUAUUCUUCUCCAGAACAAAACAAGUGUAGAAAUAUAGGAAUGCCAAUUCUGUCAGGCUUAGAUCCAAUUCUAGAUCUGAAGAACGGCCAGCAGGAAUGUUUGCAUUUCUGUUGAAGCCAGGCACUUCCUGAAUGAGGCAGGCUAUGUCAGGAAUGAUAGAAAAGCUUUGUUUUCUUCCCAGACACCAGUUCAUCUUAGAUCACCACUCCUGAUUAGUUUUGUAUUGCUGCUGUUAACAGGUGACUACAAACUUGGUGGCCCAUAACAGCAAAGACUCAUUGUCUUCCAAUUCUUCAGGUUAAACCAGCCUCACUGGGCUAAUAUUAAGGUGCUGACAGGACUGCGUUUCUUUCUGGAGACUCUGGGAGAAGCAUUUCCUGGCCUUUUCAGCUUCUAGAGGCCACUUGUGUUCCUUGGCCUGUGGUCCUCUGUGGCCCUCUGUUCCUGUCUUCAGAGCCAGCAACAAUGUAUCUUUCUGACUUUUCUCUGUCAUUAUAUUUCUCUGACAAUAGCCAUGAAAGGUUCUCUGCUUUCAAGGACUCAUGUGAUUAGAUUGGGUCCACUAGGUCAUCCAGGAUGAUUUUCCCAUCACAAGGUCUGUAGGAACCUUAACCACAUCUUUAAAUUCUCUUUUACCAUGAAAAGUAACAUAGCACAGCUUCCUUCUGGAGGCUGCAGGGGUGAAGCUGCCCUUUGCCUCUUCCAGCUUGUAGAGGCUGCUGGUGUCCCUCACUGAAGUGUGUAUCCCUGCCCCUCCCGUGUGCUUCUGUUCUUCCUCUUUUAACUACCGGCUUUAGUUCUGCUUUUCUCUUUUAAGGAUCUUUGUGAUUACAUUUAGUUUAUGUGGAUAAUCCAGGAUAAUCUCAUUUCAAAAUGCUUAAUAUAAUGACAUCUGCAAAACUCACAGGUUUGGAGAUUAGAACAUGAGUAUUUUAGAGGCCGGGGCUAGGGGCACACUAUUCACCACAGUUUACUCCGGCCUCAAAAAUUCACAUCCAUCCCAAAAAUUCAUCCCAAGCAGAGGUGCUCAAAAAUCUCAGACCAUUACAGCAUCAGUUUCAAAUGCAGUAUCUUAUCUGAAUCUCACUGAAAAAUCCCAAAUCUCAUUUAAAUCAUCUAAAUCGGGUAUGAGUGAGGACCUGUGUAUGACUCCUGAAACACAGUUCCCCUCCACCUGCGAACCUAGAACCAGCGAUUUUCUCCCAAAUAUGAAGAUAGGGCAGGCACAGGAUAACAGUUACAGAUAUUCCUGUUCAAAAAGUCAGAAAACGGAAUGAAAAAAGGACGCACCAGUGCCAAGUGACACAGCAAUUUAGUUAGGCACACUCUGUUGGGCCUCAGCCUGGAACUGGGGUUCUGUGGCAACCAGCACCAUCCUCUGGGCUUAAGGCUUCCUCUCAGAGUCCUUGAGUUUUUCGUGAAAGGUAGCACAUGUUUGUAGCCUAAUAGUUUCAUCAACUUGUUUCUUGUCUGGAAAUCUGGGAGGUCCAGUCACCUUCCAUUUCAUACACCCUGUACCUUUUAGUGUAGGAGGGCACUGUCUGCUGGUACAACAUUAUCAAAACACUGGGGGGUCUUCUGUGUGUGUUACAGGAUUCGCUGAGGUCUGGAGGCUCCUCCAUGUGCUUUUCUAAAAUAAGGAACUCCAUCUCUGAUUUGGUUCUGAGAUGGCCGAGAGGAUCUGUAAGUCAUACUCCUAAUCUCUUCAAAGAGCCUUUUGUGUGACUGCACACUCAGGCCUUUUAUCUUUCUCAAAGAGGUAUUAGCAAAAGUUGUACAGCUGCCCUCUUGCCUCUUUCCCUAGAGCAGGCUUUCCUGAAUCUCGUAAUUUUCAUGUCUCUUGCCGUUAGGGUAAGCUAAGAAUUUUCAAGUCAUCAAGUCCUAUUUUCCUUAUAUAUAACAGUUGUUCCCUCAGUGUAUCUCCCCUCACAUUUUACUGUAAUCUGCAAGAAGGAAGCAGUCCUCACCUUCUGCACUUUGCUGAGAAAUCUCUCUAUCUAAACAUACUAAAUUCAUCACUUAAAAUGUCUGCUUUCCACAUAACUGCAGGACACAAUUCAGCUAAGCUUUUUGCCACUAUUUUCCUGUAGUUUCCAACAGCUUGCUCUUCACUCCCCUCAGAGCUCUCACAGGCAGCACCUUUCAUGUCCUAUUUCUCCUCACAGUCUAUUCUCGGCAACUGAGAUGUUUUCUAUGGUGAUUCUCUGCCAUGCUCCUAAAGUGUCUUCCAUCCUCUACUCACUGACCGGUUUCAAAGCCACUUCUGUAAUUUCAGGGGGCUGUCGUGGCAGCACCCCACUUCCAGGUAUCUAGAAAACUCUUUUGCCUACUUGCUGCCAGUUGAUGUGAAUGUGCCAAUAAGAGAUUUAAAAUUCUUCACCUUUCUCAGGGGCUCUGGUGGGUUUAAGGCAGCAGAUUUACCUGUGUGGGGGGUUUUAGUACUGCAAGUGCUACCAGAAAUUCCACUGAGAGAAGUGUUGAUCACACCACUACAAAGAAAGCUUUUUCUGAGUGUCAUAAUAGAGUCAGAAGAUUAUCCCUAAGUCUUCUCCUCAGGAUAGGACACCCUGUUUCUUCCCACUCAUUGCAAACAACUUGGAGAAUACAUAAACAAUAGUUUAAGGAGUCAAUCUCAGUUCAGAAAGUUGACAAGAGACACUGCAUUUUCUCAGGAGCAAAAUCAUCUUCCUAAAGAAAUAUGCUAUUGAAACAAAUGAGCAUUUUGAAACAAAAGGGCAUUGUUCUGCUUUGAACUAACAAAAUGGGGGUGGGGGUGGGGGAUAGCCAAACCCUGUAAAAUUACUUGAAAUUUUAUUCUUGUAGUUUACUUUUAUCAGUCAAUUAUGUGCACAUACAGAACUGCCAUUUUUGUAUACAGCAGUCUUCCAAGACACAGAGAUUUACAUUAGGAGAAUUAAACAUCCAGGAGGGAUGAACAAGACUUACAUGAACUAUAUAGUGCUUUGCUUCAGAGUCAUUUUCCUGGUUUCUUUUUACUUCCGCAGUCAUGGUAACUUUGAAAAUCUGUAAUCCUCUCAGAAAAGAGUGUGUCACUGAGCAGUGAGGCGACCGUGUGUGGAGUCGGAUGUUUUGCAUGACAUAUGUAAUCACAAACUUCGAGUGUCUUCUUACCAAUAAAGAAUGUUUUCACAGAAACUCACUGAAAAUCCUUUUCAAAAUUUUCCUUGAUUUGCAGUUUUAUUUGAGUGGCUUAAUAAAGUAUUUUAAGCAGUGCAUCUUUUUAAUGGUCAGAGAAAAAACUGAGCUGAAGCAAUGUAAUCUCAAUUUCCCAUUACUGUUUCUGUUUUUAUUCCAUCAAAAUAAAGGUGCAAAUUUUUCUCAACUUUUCGCCACAGUGGAUUUCUGAAAACCUUGUCACAACAUAUAUUGUUAAUAAAGUGCAGCCUGUUUUCCCCUU
RNA transcript from Phyllostomus discolor (pale spear-nosed bat), 5568 nucleotides. It is a transcript of the gene named UBX domain protein 2B, with no coding region annotated. The transcript has 10 exons. NCBI's taxonomy places the organism in Eukaryota, Metazoa, Chordata, Mammalia, Chiroptera, Phyllostomidae. The record is from RefSeq and is a predicted model, not a curated record.